AUGAACGCUGGCGGCGUGCCUAAUACAUGCAAGUCGAGCGAACAGACGAGGAGCUUGCUCCUCUGACGUUAGCGGCGGACGGGUGAGUAACACGUGGAUAACCUACCUAUAAGACUGGGAUAACUUCGGGAAACCGGAGCUAAUACCGGAUAAUAUAUUGAACCGCAUGGUUCAAUAGUGAAAGACGGUUUUGCUGUCACUUAUACAUGGAUCCGCGCCGCAUUAGCUAGUUGGUAAGGUAACGGCUUACCAAGGCGACGAUGCGUAGCCGACCUGAGAGGGUGAUCGGCCACACUGGAACUGAGACACGGUCCAGACUCCUACGGGAGGCAGCAGUAGGGAAUCUUCCGCAAUGGGCGAAAGCCUGACGGAGCAACGCCGCGUGAGUGAUGAAGGUCUUCGGAUCGUAAAACUCUGUUAUUAGGGAAGAACAAAUGUGUAAGUAACUAUGCACGUCUUGACGGUACCUAAUCAGAAAGCCACGGCUAACUACGUG
This 496-nucleotide ribosomal RNA is filed under the name uncultured bacterium. RNAcentral's name for it is "partial 16S ribosomal RNA". It matches the Rfam family "Bacterial small subunit ribosomal RNA", at positions 29 to 507 of the family's 1533-position model. The record is from RNAcentral.